RNAcentral lists this ribosomal RNA (178 nucleotides) under uncultured Chloroflexota bacterium. Its description in RNAcentral is "uncultured Chloroflexi bacterium partial 16S ribosomal RNA". It matches the Rfam family "Bacterial small subunit ribosomal RNA", at positions 1205 to 1382 of the family's 1533-position model. Lineage: Bacteria; Bacillati; Chloroflexota. The record is from RNAcentral.
UGCCUUGGGCUACACACACGCUACAAUGGGUGGUACAAUGGGUGGCAAUAGAGCGAUCUGGAGCUAAUCCCAAAAAGCCAUCCUCAGUUCAGAUUGUAGGCUGAAAUCCGCCUGCAUGAAGGAGGAGUUGCUAGUAACCGCAGGUCAGCAUACUGCGGUGAAUACGUUCUCGGGCCUU